GUCUUGUUGGUGAAUAUAAUAAGUCUGACCUGCCCGGUGAUUUUAAUUUAACGGCCGCAGUACUUUGACUGUGCAAAGGUAGCAUAAUCAUUAGUCUCUUAAUAGGGGGCUGGAAUGAAUGGUUUGACGAAAUACUAACUGUCUCAUUUUUAUUGAUUGAAUUUAACUUUUAAGUUAAAAGGCUUAGAUUUUUUUGGAAGACGAGAAGACCCUAUAGAGCUUUAUUUGAUUUAUUUUAUUGAUGUUUAGUUUAUAAAUUUUAUUAAUAUUAAUUUAAAAUUUGUUGGGGUGAUAGUAAAUAAAAAUUUAACUUUUAUUAUUAUUUUUACAUUUAUUUAUGAAAUAUUAGAUCUUUUAUUAUGAUUAUUAGAUUAAGUUACCUUAGGGAUAACAGCGUAAUCUUUCCUUUGAGUUCUUAUUUUCGGAAAGGGUUGCGACCUCGAUGUUGGAUUAAGAUUACAAUUAGGUGUAGUCGCUUAAUUUUGUAGGUCUGUUCGACCUUUAAUCUCUUACAUGAUCUGAGUUCAGACCGG
This 533-nucleotide ribosomal RNA is filed under the name Libellago hyalina. Its description in RNAcentral is "partial 16S ribosomal RNA". It matches the Rfam family "Bacterial large subunit ribosomal RNA", at positions 1828 to 2619 of the family's 2925-position model. The record is from RNAcentral. Lineage: Eukaryota; Metazoa; Arthropoda; Insecta; Odonata; Chlorocyphidae.